This 389-nucleotide ribosomal RNA is filed under the name Syndiniales sp. RNAcentral describes it as "partial small subunit ribosomal RNA". It matches the Rfam family "Eukaryotic small subunit ribosomal RNA", at positions 582 to 975 of the family's 1831-position model. Lineage: Eukaryota; Dinophyceae; Syndiniales. The record is from RNAcentral.
AUUCCAGCUCCAAUAGCGUAUAUUAAAGUUGUUGCGGUUAAAAAGCUCGUAGUUGGAGUUCUGCCAGGUGCCACCUGUCCGCCCCAGUGGUGAGUACGUGGUGCGCAUUUGGCCCUUUCAAGGGGAGCGUAUUUGCACUUAAUUGUGUGGUGCGGGAUCCUUGACUUUUACUUUGAGGAAAUAAGAGUGUUCCAAGCAGGCUCUCGUCGUGCAUAGCUCAGCAUGGAAUAAUAGCAUUGGACCUCGAUUCUAAGCUGCUGGUUGCCAGAAGCGAGGUAAUGAUUAAUAGGGACAGUCGGGGGCAUUUGUAUUCAAACGACAGAGGUGAAAUUCUUGGACCGUUUGAAGACAAACUACUGCGAAAGCAUUUGCCAAGAAUGUUUUCAUUA